GCACUACUGAGGAGUCCCACAAUAGGACGAAACGGCAGUCCAAUGC
This 46-nucleotide non-coding RNA is filed under the name Schistosoma margrebowiei. The record is from RNAcentral. Lineage: Eukaryota; Metazoa; Platyhelminthes; Trematoda; Strigeidida; Schistosomatidae.